This 8265-nucleotide long non-coding RNA is filed under the name Nicotiana tabacum (common tobacco). Its description in RNAcentral is "long non-coding RNA (NTAB_LNC015144)". Lineage: Eukaryota; Viridiplantae; Streptophyta; Magnoliopsida; Solanales; Solanaceae. The record is from RNAcentral.
AAGAAGAUGGCCAAGAGAGAAAGUAAGUCUCCAUCUUAAACAAUUAUUUUACUCUUUCUCUUACCCAUCUUAUGCAUUUGUUUUGUUUGCCCCUCCUUUUGGCCUUAGAUUUUUGUUUCAUUUCAAAAUUUCAAUAUUUUGGUUAGAUUUUUCCGGUUAUUCUUUAAUUUUACUUAGUUUAUAUCUGUUAUUUCUUGAUGGACAUGUAAACAUAUGAUUCUAUUUUUUUCAAUAUUGAUUUACAAUUGUCAUACUACCUCUGGAAUUCUUCUUGUUACUAAUAUUUAGAAAUGACAGUUGGAGGUAGACGAACAUAUAGGAUUUGGAGGUGGACGAACAGGGGAAACAUUGUGAUUUCAAAUUCUUUUUUUGGGUGAAUUUGCAACUAAAAUUACUUCUAUGCAAUACAUGUAUGCAUACGUUUUUCUCUCCUUAUCGAUAGAUUGUAGAAUCCACUCCAGAGCUCUAUUCUCUCUGCAUUUUGUUUCAUUUGCAGCUCUGCUUCUUGCCAUCGCUAUGGGUUAUCUUAUUCAGAAUUCUCUGGGUCGAGUUAGUCUUUCGUGUUUUUGUGUUUUUAAUUGCGGUAAGUUUUCUUCUUCUUUUAUUCUUUAUUUAUCGCACACUACCUAUUUCCCAUUAUUGGUUGGAAUAUAUGCAUUUGUAUACCUCUUUGUGUUUUUUUUUGUUUUUUUUGACUUUCUUCAAUUUAUUAAGAAAAUAGUUUUUUUAAUGCAUGUUGAUUUAUUUUAUUUUUCCAUGUUUCCUGCUUGUGUUACUUUUUGUGUUUCUAAUAUUUUUUAUGCAUGUCUUUUACAGUUUAAUUUUCGGAGCUUCCAAUAGUCCUGGAACCUUUCUGGGUGGGCAUGAUUAGCUCUUUUUCAGGUCAACAAAUUUUAUUAUGUUACUUUUGGUAAGUUUAGCUGUGAGUUAUGCAAUUCAAGUUUUGUAAUAACCUAAAGUAUCAAAAUUGUUGUUGGGAGAUUGGAUCUAUUCAUUUUCUCUAAUUUGACUUUUAAAUUUUUCUUCUCCGACUUUACUAUUUUCAUAUAAAUUUCUUUCUUGACGAUAUCUGUAUAUAUGAAAACUUUUACUUUCAUAAUGUUCUUUAUCUGUACAUGUUGUGUUUUAUGAUUAGUGACAACUUCCAUCAAUAUGACUUCUUGCUUUCCUUUUACUUUAUUUUUCCAGUUAUUUGAUCUUUUCAUUGUUUACUUAACAUGAUGGAUUUAAACUACAACCUAUACAGGAAGCAAGGAACUUCUAUAAUUUACCUUUUUCAACCUAUACAGCAAAGAGUUAUGCCAUAAAACACCAUCUCACAUCAUUUUAGCAGAAAACUUUCAUACUUUUCACACUAAGGAACUACAAGAAGUAACUCAGCAAAGAGUAUAGAUCCGACACUGAAAGGAAGCACCGAAGAAAGUAAGGAAACUCACCCCAAGAGAGAUAACAUUUUUGAAGUUGUGAUGGAGAAAGGCAAUUCCAGAGAGAGCAGCGAAAGGGAGAGAAUUAGAACAACGAAGGAAUUUCUGAACUUCAAGAGCAAUUAGAAACAACAGUUGGGGUAUACGAACCGGGGACAAAUAGGGGUACUUUAGUAAUUAUGAGUUUAUUUAGUGAUAAAUUGGUAACUAAGUCAAAGGAAAGCACGCGUACUACACUGUCUAAACACGUGUACUAUAAUUUUACUGUGUAAAAGUUUCAUUCUCUCCCACCUACCUUACAUGACUCCUCCAUUUUUCCUCCAAUUUCUUCCCAUCGUACAUUAAUGCAGUCUAGAAAUUUCUAUUGCCUUUGAUUUUUAUUCGAUUUUGUACAAAUUUUUCCAGCAGUGCUUCAAAUGGUUAGAUUCUCUAAGAUCGAUGUCUCGAAGUUUAGAAAUCUGAGAGAGGCGCAGUUCCAUGUUGUUUUAGAGAUUGAAAAAUGUUCGUCGUUUUACUACUAAUUUCUUAAAGUUACCAGAUUUUCUUAUAAUUAUUAUAGAAAUUCCUAUGGCUUUGACUCUCCUUUUAACCGAUUCUACACAUGCACCUAAAGAAGAUGGGCAAGAGAGAAAGUAAGUCUCCAUCUUAAACAAUUAUUUUACUCUUUCUCUUACCCAUCUUAUGCAUUUGUUUUGUUUGCCCCUCCUUUUGGCCUUAGAUUUUGGUUUCAUUUCAAAAUUUCAUUAUUUUGGUUUGGUUUUUCUGGUUAUUCUUUAAUUUUACUUAGUUUAUAUCUGUUAUUUCUUAAUGGGCAUGUAAACAUAUGGUUCUAUUUUUUUCAAUAUUAAUCUACAAUUGUCAUACUACCUCUGGAAUUCUCCUUGUUACUAAUAUUUAGAAACGACAGUUGGAGGUGGACGAACAUAUGGGAUUUGGAGGUGGACGAACAGGGGAAAACUUGUGAUUUCAAAUUCUUUUUUGGGUUGAAUUUGCAACUAAAAUUACUUCUUUGCAAUACAUGUGUAUACAUUUUUCUCUCCUUAUCGAUAGAUUGUAGAAUCCACUCCAGAGCACUACUCUCUCUGCAUUUUGUUUCCUUUGCUGCUCUGCUUCUGGCCAUCGCUAUGGGUCAUCUUUUUCAGAAUUCUCUGGGUCGAGUUUGUCUUUUGUGUUUUUGUAUUUUUGUAUUCUUUAUUUUUGAAUUGCGCGCUACCUAUUUCCCAUUAUUGGUUGGAAUAUAUGCAUUUGUAUACCUCUUUGUGUUUUUUUUGUUUUUUUUGACUUUCUUCGAUUUAUUAAGAAAAUAGUUUUUUUAAUGCAUGUUGAUUUAUUUUAUUUUUCCAUGUUUCCUGCUUGUGUUACUUUUUGUGUUUCUAAUAUUUUUUAUGUAUGUCUUUUACAGUUUAAUUUUCGGAGCUUCCAACAUUCCUUGAACUUUUCUGGGUGGGCAUGAUUAGCUAUUUUUCAGGUCAACAACUUAUAUUAUGUUACUUUUGGUAAGUUUAGCUGUGAGUUAUGCAAUUCAAUUUUUCUAAUAACCUAAAGUAUCAAAAUUGUUGUUGGGGGAUUGGAUCUAUUCAUUUGCUCUAUAUUUGACUUUUAAAUUGUUCUUCUCCGACUAUACUACUUUCAUAUAAAUUUCUUUCUUGACGAUAUCUGUAUAUAUGAAAUUUUUUACUUUCAUAAUGUUCUUUAUCUGUACAUGUUGUGUUUUAUGAUCAGUGACAGCUUCCAUCAAUAUGACUUCUUGCUUUCCUUUUACUUUAUUUUUCCAGUUAUUUGAUCUUUUCAUUAUUUACUUAACAUGAUAGAUUUAAACUACAAAAACUGAUGCAACUAAGACGCUCGAUGUUAUUCCUGCAACAACUGAACAAUUUAACAAUUUGAUUGGUCAGUGAAAUUGUAAAACAAGUGAAAAGGAUACAUCCCUUGAAAAGGAUACACGCUAUAUGUCAUAUCGGAUCUGGCAAUGACCAAGAAAUAAAAAAUUCAUGAGGGUUCUAUUUAGUUAAAUACAGUAGUAGAUGAAAAAGGUGCAUAAACUUCAGUUUUACUUUUUGUUGUAAGAUUCUUAUCUCCUAAAGAAUUCUUCCCAAAGAUUUGAUUUUAUGUUUGUGAUUUCUUUUGAGGGAAACAUAGUCAAUUUCUGGUUCUGUGUUUUUUUUUUGCGUAAUACUUUUGAAGUAGAGUUUUUUAUUUGAAUUGAUAGAAAAUAUGUGUGGUUAUACAAGUAAUUAAGUCUAAGAUAAAUGGUUGGUUAAAGUAUAUUCGUAUCUGUCCCUUUGAAGGAUUUAGGAGAAAUCAUCAUGGGAAUUUUCUUUCUGUAUCAUUCUAUAUAUCAUCUGUACAGUGUAUGCUCUUUAUAUACAAGUAAAAUUGCCUGACAAGGCAUCUUUCUAUGCUAACAAACUCUAACAGAAUUGUAAAAUAAAUAAUUGCAAAAGAAAAAUAUUUACAUGGUAAAAUCCCUAAUCUACCCUUAAUGUUGUUUCUAAAAUUCCACAACUGUGCAGCUUAUGAGACGCAUGAUGGAGGACACACGUCUUAAUUAUAGCAAUCUUUGAGAACCUUAGAUGUUCUUUCUCUCAACUAGGUCAUGUCUCCUUCUCCUUCUGUAAUCGGAGACUCGUCGGAAAUGGUAGAAUGAAGAUUUUGUCCGGCAACACCCCCCUUCAAGCUGGAAACCAGUGAUCGGACUCCAAGCUUGACCAGAAAAGAUCUAUGCAAAGGACCAGCUAGUGCUUUUGUAAAAAGAUUGGCGAUUUGAGAAGAAGAAGGAACAAAAGACAAAGAGAUCAAUCCAUCCAGAAGUUUUUCACGAACGAAGUGCCAAUCAACCUCAAUAUGCUUGGUCCGUUCAUGAAAGUAUGUGGAUGGCUUCUUGGUUAUCGCAAUGAAGAGGAACCGGCAAAGAGGGAACAACAGAUAGGUCGUGCAACAAUCGGACCACCCAAGUUAUUUUAGCAGCUAAUCGGCGCAUUGAACGGUAUUCAGCUUCUGGGGAAGAAAGAGCGACUACCUGCUGCUUCUUAGAUUUCCAAGAAAUGGGGUAACCACCAAGACUUAAGAAAAAACCACUCACUGAACGGCGUGUAUUGGAGCAAGAAGCCCAGUCGGCAUCGCAGAAAGCUAAGAGUUGAAAUGAAGGUUCAGAAGACAUGAAUAAACCAAGACCUGGAUCCCUGGAAAUGUAACGCAAAACAUGCAAUGCUGCUUGGUAAUGUCCAGUAUAGGGAGAUUGCAUAUGCUGACUGAGAGUUUGCACAGCAAAAGAAAGGUCUGGACGUGUGCUAGUUAAAAAAUUCAGCUUGCCCAAAAGACGUCGGUAAACAGUCGGAUCAGGGAGAGGUUCACCACAACUGAAAGAAAGCUUAAUGGUAGGAUCCAAUGGAGAAGAAGCUGGUCGAACAUUCAAGCAAUCAAAAUCUGUAAGUAACUCUAAAGCAAACUUUCUUUGUGUGACAAUUAAACCUCCUGAUUCCCUGAUCAAUUCUAAACCCAAGAAAUAAUAUGCCAACCCCAAAUCCUUUAUUUUAAAUUCCAUGUCAAGAAACUGUUUGAUCUCAUUGAUUUCUGCUUGAUUAUUACCAGUGAUCAAGACAUCAUCCACGUAAACUGCAAGAAUGGUUAUCAAAUCCCCAGAUACUUUGAAGAAAAGAGAGUAGUCAUUAAGGGAGGAAGUGAAACCUCUGGUUCCCAAAGCAGAAGACAAAUGUGCAUACCACUGACGAAAAGCCUGUUUGAGGUCGUACAAUGAUUUUCUAAGUCGACAAACAUGAGAAGGAGAUGGAGGAGAUAGUCCAAGUGGGAACCUCAUAUAUACUUCUUCAUCUAAUUCACCAUGGAGGAAGGCGUUAUUGACGUCAAGUUGAAACAAAUCCCAAUUUCUUUUCACAGCAAUAGACAGAAUGCAGCGGAUUGUUGUCAUUUUCACAACCGGAGAGAAGGUAUCAGUAUAGUCAAUUCCUUCCCUUUGUGUGUCCCCUCGAAUUACCAAUCUCGCUUUCAGUCGCUCCAAAGUCCCAUCAGAUUUCAGCUUAACUUUGUAAACCCACUUGCAGGGUAAUGCCUUCUUCCCUUCAGGCAGUUCGACAACAUCCCAAGUAUGAUUAGACGCUAAUGCCUCAAACUCCUUUACCAUGGCAUCUUGCCAUCCAGGAUGAGCAGCUGCUUGGUGAUAGGUUUGAGGUUCAUUAAUGUGACAUAUAGAAGAAAUGAGCCCCUAGUUCUCUUUAGUCAAGGCAGAGAAACAAAAAGAAUGGAAUGGAAGGAAAGGAGGAUUAGGAGAAAUAGAAGAAGCAUUAUUGCAGAGAUAAUCGGAGAGAUACUUAGGGGCAUUGUGAACUCUUGUGGAUUUGCGCAGCUCAGGUCCAUGUGAUGAGGAUAACACUGGUUCUAAAGAGUCUUGUGUACCUGCAGGUGGAGAUGGGGGCCUUAUAAUUAGGAGUUUUAUAAGGCCCCCAGGUGUCAAUAUGUAUUAGAUCAAAACAGUGGUUUGAGGUGAUUUUACUAGGAUAAAAAGGCAGUUUCGACUGUCUUGCCAUAGGGCAAAUUGUGCAAGGGCAGUCUUCUUAAUCUGAAAAAGUAAUAGGAAUGUCUUUAAUAUGCUUCAUAGCUGUAAAAGGUAAGUGUCCCAAUCUUGAAUGCCAUAGUUUAUCCAUAACAGAAACAUGGGAAAUAGAAACAAUUUUAUUCAUAAUGUCAUUUGAUUGUCCUUGAUAAAUAGGAUGGACAGACCCUGGAUACAAAGACUUUGGACAAACUGACUCAUACUUAGAAGAAGGCACUGGACUACAAGACUUGGACGCGACAUUAAAAAGAGAAGAGAUUGGUGCAUGAGGCUUGAUCGAUCGAGAUUCCAACUGGUGAGUGUUAUCCUCCAGCACAUAGAGCCCUGAUGCAGCUUUACCAAAAAUCUGAUACCUCUUCUUUGAAGGGACCUGUAUAGCACAACCAAACUUGUUAAAAAGAAGAUCACAAUUAAAUUGGUAGCACAAUUGGUAGACUGAUAACAAAUUGCGCCUGAAAGAAGGAACAAAUAACACAUGGUGUAGUUCAAAUUUAGGAGUUAAGAAUAGACUUCCUAUAUAAUGUACUUUUACUUUAGAAGAAUUGGGGAGGCUGACCAAAAUUGGUGGUGACAGAACUGUUAUAUUGUGUAACAGGUGUUUUUGAUAUGUCAUAUAUUGAGAUGCUCCUGAAUCUAUGAUCCAAGGAAUGAGAGUGAGCGGAGAAAACAAAGAGGUAAAGAAGUGACAAGCAAAGUGUAUACCAGCUAGAUUAGCACUGGGUGAGGCAACAGGGUUUGAAGUGGAUCCUCCAUUCUGCACAGAUUGAAACAUGCUAAUCAACCGCUCGACCUGCUCUUUAGAAAAUCCAUGAGACUGAACAAGAGAGGAAACAACAUUUCCUGAAAUUCCUAUAGUGAGUUCAGGUGUACAACUGGCUGAAUUUGCAUUAGGAGUAGCAUAUGCACCCUAUUUCUGCCUGUUAAACUUAAAAUGUGGUGGGUAUUCUAUUAACUUAUAGCAACCUUCCUUGACAUGCCCAGAUUUUUUGCAGUAGUUGCAGAAGAGAUCACUCCUUUUUACAUCAGCACCUGAGUUUGGAAUACCAACUUUGGCUCCUCCAUGAUGUUUCUGAGGAGCCCAUUUUUGCCCAGAAACCAUAAAAGCAGAAGACUCAACGGAAAAGGAAGUACCAGAAUGAAUUUCUCUUUGUGACUCAUCAUGUAAUACAAUGGAAUAGGCUUGAGCAGUAGAAGGUAAGGGUUUCAUCAUUAGAAUGUUACCUCUCACUCCAUUGUAGGCUUCAUUCAGUCCCAUCAGAAAUUGAAUCAAUUUUUGGUCUUCAUUCACCUUAUGGUUGUGAGUUUUAGCACCACACUUACAAUCACGGCUACAAAUCAUAAAAGUAUUAAGCACCUUCAUUUGAUCCCAAAUCCUUUUGAGCUUGUUAAAAUAGUUGGCAAGAUCAGAAGUUCCCUAACUGAUUGUAUUUAACUCUCUCUGCAGCUGAAACAAUUUUGUUCCAUCGGCUUGUCCAUACCUUUGCUCCAGCUCUUGCCAGAGUUCCUCAGCAGUUUGAGAUUAGAUGACACUUUCUGCAAUUUCCUUGCUAACAGAGUUGAGCAACCAAGAAAGUACCAUGUCGUUGUAUCUCUUCCAUUGAGUGAGUAGAGCAGACUGAGAAGAGGGUGGAGGAUAGGCUCCAGUGAUGAAACCGAGCUUGUUUUUGGCUGACAAAGCAAUCAAGACGCCCCUCUUCCAAUUCCCAUAACUUGUGCCAUCAAAAAUGGUGUUGAUCAAGUUCAUCCCUGGGCUAUCAAAUGGGGUAAGAAAGUAAGGAUGAGAGAUAUCAAUCUGUUGAGCAAUGGUAGGAGCUGAAGAACCAGUGCCAUCAUCCUUAGAAAUAGCUGAAGGUGUAACUGGAGUUUUGUCUCCCAUUGUUCAGAUAUAGAUAGUGAGGCAAAGAAGAAGAAGAAAAAGACAAGAAGAAGAAAAGAGAAAAAAAAAUACACUAGAUCUCAGAAUUGCUCUGAUACCGUGAAGGAUUUAGGAGAAAUCAUCAUGGGAAUUUUCUUUCUGUAUCAUUCUAUAUAUCAUCUGUACAGUGUGUGCUCUUUAUAUACAAGUAAAAUUGCCUGACAAGGCAUAUUUCUAUGCUAACAAACUCUAACAGAAUUGUAAAAUAAAUAAUUGCAAAAGGAAAAUAUUUACAUGGUAAAAUCCCUAAUCUACCCUUAAUGUUGUUUCUAGAAUUCCACAACUGUGCAGCUUAUGAGAUGCAUGAUGGAGGACACACGUCUUAAUCAUAGCAAUCUUUGAGAACCUUAGAUGUU